This 1683-nucleotide long non-coding RNA is filed under the name Homo sapiens (human). RNAcentral's name for it is "HSALNT0142181". The record is from RNAcentral. Lineage: Eukaryota; Metazoa; Chordata; Mammalia; Primates; Hominidae.
UCAAGCUAUUCCAAGUCAUGAUGAAUCUUAAAUGAAUAUUGCUAAAUGAAGAAAGGCAUUCUGUAAAGACUAUCUAAUACAUGAUUGCAAUUUAUCGGCAAAACUGUAGAAACUAUAAAGAAAGCAGUGUUUGUCAAGGGUUUGGGCAGAGGUUGAAUUCAUGAAGCACAUGCAUUUUCUUAGGGCAUUGAAAUUAUUCUGUAUAACAUCAUAAUGGUGGAUUCAUACUACUUUGCAGUUGUCAAAACCUAUUGCACUUGCAGCACAGGACAUGAAAGCUGAUAUAUGCAAAUUAUUAAGAAAUAGGAAGUCAAGGAAUCCCAGGAUGAAAUGUUGAGUGUGAUAAAAGAAUCUAACUGUAUUUACCAAUGUAUGAAGCAACCUACCUGAAGGCAAUGCACAAAUGGUGCUGACCUAAGUAACUUUGGAGAAGGGUGGAUUCUGUUAAGACUGAAGGCAAUGUAAUCUUUACAUAAACUCUGCACUGUACAAGUUCAUAUCUUGUCCCGACAGGGCAUAUGUUAACAAUCCUGUACAUGUACAUUUGAGUUGAAUAAUUGAGUAAAUUGUAUACUUGGUACAUCCACUUUGGAAAAUGGUUUUACAGUUUCUUUCAAAGCUGAACAGAGUCUUCUUAUACAAUGCAGGUUUCUCACUUUUACAGUGGAAGGUAACAAACCAGCAAGAUGAGACUACUAGAAUGAUAUAUGUGGUAUUCAAUUAGAGUUGGAGAAAUCGGUAUCAAUUCGUGUUUCAUCUUAUGUAAAUUUAGAUAGAUGAUAGAUAAUGUGUAGUGUAUACAUGAGUUAGUGUUUGCGUAUGUAUUUCCUUACUUUGUCAGUUAACAGAGCCUAGAAACAUUGACUUUCUUGUAACAAUAGCACACCUAGCACCCAGAUUUUUGUUUAACAUUUAUUUUAGGUUUGGGAAUACAUGGGAAGGUUUGCUGUAUAGGUAAAUUCCAUGUCACGGGGGUUUGGUGUACAAAUUAUUUUGUCACCCAGUAAUAAGCAUAGUGCCCAAUAGGUAGUUUUUCGAUCCUCAUCCUCCUCUCGCUCUUCACCCUCAAGCAGGCCUCUGUGUCUGUUGUUCCCUUCUUUGUGUCCAUGUGUACUCAGUAUUUAAGCUCCGACUUAAAACUGAAAACACUUUAAAGAAAUUGAGAACACAACUAAAUCUUGAUUUCUGAUGUUAUUCUCCAAUACAAGGUACAAGUGCUCCAUGGAGAAAAUGGUGAUUCAGCGCCUGAGCCAUGAAAUAUACAAGAUGAGCCUGGAGAAUCCUGCAGUUCUAGAAAGGUGCUCCUUGACAUCCUAUGAAAGAAUGUCCUUGAAGAAAGAUGCUAAAAUGUUCAACGAUUUUUUUAAAGCAGAAAGUCUGAAGUAGCUGCGGUGAGUGACAGCUGAACACAAAUUUCUGACUACUAGAAGAGGAGUCAUGUUAACAGUACAUAAAUAUUCACAGAGAUGGUAUCUUUAAAUAUAACUUGCAAAUAAUCUCACAGUAAAAAUGUAUUUUUAUAUUACCCAGUGGAAUUAAAGUGAACUUUUCUUCUUUCCAUUUUCUUUGAUGAAUUUUAACAAAGUUGCUCCCAAUUUCAGCAUGUGCACAUUGGUUUAUGUUUUCAAAGAAAAAUGUUGUUAGUUUCAAUUGGCUUUAUAUUGAUGUUUACCAGGUGAUUAA